GAGAUAACUCCUACGGGAGGCAGCAGUGAGGAAUAUUGGACAAUGGGUUAGCGCCUGAUCCAGCCAUCCCGCGUGAAGGACGACGGCCCUAUGGGUUGUAAACUUCUUUUGUAUAGGGAUAAACCUACUCUCGUGAGAGUAGCUGAAGGUACUAUACGAAUAAGCACCGGCUAACUCCGUGCCAGCAGCCGCGGUAAUACGGAGGGUGCAAGCGUUAUCCGGAUUUAUUGGGUUUAAAGGGUCCGUAGGCGGAUCUGUAAGUCAGUGGUGAAAUCUCACAGCUUAACUGUGAAACUGCCAUUGAUACUGCAGGUCUUGAGUAAAUUUGAAGUGGCUGGAAUAAGUAGUGUAGCGGUGAAAUGCAUAGAUAUUACUUAGAACACCAAUUGCGAAGGCAGGUCACUAAGAUUUAACUGACGCUGAUGGACGAAAGCGUGGGGAGCGAACAGGAUUAGAAACCCUAGUAGUCCUCCACU
RNAcentral lists this ribosomal RNA (476 nucleotides) under uncultured bacterium. RNAcentral's name for it is "bacterial SSU rRNA". It matches the Rfam family "Bacterial small subunit ribosomal RNA", at positions 329 to 803 of the family's 1533-position model. The record is from RNAcentral.